CCUACGGGAGGCAGCAGUGAGGAAUCUUGGUCAAUGGACGAGAGUCUGAACCAGCCAAGUAGCGUGAAGGAUGACUGCCCUAUGGGUUGUAAACUUCUUUUAUAUGGGAAUAAAACAGGGUAUGCAUACCCUCUUGUAUGUACCAUAUGACUAAGGAUCGGCUAACUCCGUGCCAGCAGCCGCGGUAAUACGGAGGAUCCGAGCGUUAUCCGGAUUUAUUGGGUUUAAAGGGAGAGUAGGUGGAUUGUUAAGUCAGUUGUGAAAGUUUGCGGCUCAACCGUAAAAUUGCAGUUGAAACUGGCAGUCUUGAGUACAGUAGAGGUGGGCGGAAUUCGUGGUGUAGCGGUGAAAUGCGUAGAUAUCACGAAGAACUCCGAUUGCGAAGGCAGCUCACUGGACUGCAACGGACACUGAUGCUCGAAAGUGUGGGUAGCAAACAGGAUUAGAUACCCCUGUAGUC
This 460-nucleotide ribosomal RNA is filed under the name uncultured bacterium. RNAcentral describes it as "partial 16S ribosomal RNA". It matches the Rfam family "Bacterial small subunit ribosomal RNA", at positions 338 to 795 of the family's 1533-position model. The record is from RNAcentral.